GACGAACGCUGGCGGCGUGCUUAACACAUGCAAGUCGAACGGAAAGGCCCUGCUUUUGUGGGGUGCUCGAGUGGCGAACGGGUGAGUAACACGUGAGUAACCUGCCCUUGACUUUGGGAUAACUUCAGGAAACUGGGGCUAAUACCGGAUAGGAUCUCCUGCUGCAUGGUGGGGGUUGGAAAGUUUCGGCGGUUGGGGAUGGACUGGCGGCUUAUCAGCUUGUUGGUGGGGUAGUGGCUUACCAAGGCUUUGACGGGUAGCCGGCCUGAGAGGGUGACCGGCCACAUUGGGACUGAGCUACGGCCCAGACUCCUACGGGAGGCAGCGGUGGGGAGUAUUGCACAAUGGGCGGAAGCCUGAUGCAGCAACGCCGCGUGCGGGAUGACGGCCUUCGGGUUGUAAACCGAUUUCGCCUGUGACGAAGCGUGAGUGACGGUAAUGGGUAAAGAAGCACCGGCUAACUACGUG
Molecule: ribosomal RNA, 468 nt
Filed under: uncultured bacterium
Lineage: Bacteria
Description: partial 16S ribosomal RNA
Rfam family: Bacterial small subunit ribosomal RNA
Source: RNAcentral